UCAGAGACAAGGAUUUCUGAAAGCUCUCUCAGCUUGAUAACGUCGCGGAAGUUACUAUGAAACAAGCGUUUUAAAUUGAACAACAGAUUCUUCCUCUAGUCGCUGCUCUGUUUCCUGUUCUGAUAUAAUUAAUUCUUGGCUAUGUCUACAGCAGGUAAGCCAAUCACUUGUCGUGCAGCAGUUGUAUGGGAACAGAAUCAACCCUACAAAAUAGAGAUUGUAGAAGUUUCUGUGCCAAAAAAUGGCGAGGUGCGAGUUAAAUUGACGUCAUCAGGAAUAUGUCACACAGAUAGCCAUUUUCAAGAGGGAAUGUUCCCAAGUGUCGCGUUUCCAUUAGUUUUGGGACAUGAAGGAGCAGGAAUAAUUGAAAGCGUUGGGGAAGGUGUUACACAUCUAAAGUCAGGGGAUUUAGUUGUGUUAACAUUUGAAGCAUUUUGUGGAGAAUGUGAUUAUUGCAAAAAUCCUAAUUGUAACAUGUGUCUGAAACAACCGAGGAAUCAUCUUCAAAUGGAUGGCACAUCCCGCAUGUCAUACAAGGGGAAAUUCCUGAGUCAGUUUUUUUCAAUAAGCACUUUUUCAGAGUAUACAGUGACAUCUCAAUGGAAUGUUACUAAAGUUAAUCCUAAAGCAGACCGAAUCACUUUAUGCUUGCUUGGUUGCUGCGUGCCUACUGGCUACGGGGCAGCAGUUAACACUGCUAAGGUGACUCCCGGAUCCACUUGUGCAAUUUGGGGUCUUGGAGGAGUUGGCAUGUGCAUUAUUAUGGGUUGUAAAAAUGCUGGAGCUUCUAAAAUUAUUGGGAUUGAUAUUAAUGACAAGAAGUUUGAAUUAGCCAAAGAAUUAGGUAUGACACACUUCCUGAAUCCCAAAAAAGUGUCCAAUAUACCAGAAGCCAUAGCAAAAUUGACCACAAGAGGAGCUGACUUCUGUUUUGUCUCAGUCGGAGUAGUACCGGUCAUGAAUGAAGCUUUCAAAUCCAGUCAACUACAUUGGGGGAAGACAAUCAUAAUAGGAUCUGCUGAUCAAGAAGCUUUCGUUAAGGCGGGGGUGAUUGAUCUUCUGUUUGGUAGACAGCUAUGUGGUUCUUGGUGUGGAUCUUAUAAAGCAGUUCGUGAUGUUCCUGAUCUUGUUGAGAAGUCUAUGAAGGGAGAUAUACAGCUUGAAAAACUAGUUACUCACCGUUUGCCUCUUGAUAAAAUCAACGAGGCUUAUGAGAUGCUUAAAACUGGAGAAUCCCAAUCACAUGCCGAGCUGCAGUGCUAUGGGAAAUAGGAAAACCCUACUCCAUUGAAACAGUUGAAGUAGCUGCUCCUAAGAAAGGAGAAGUUCGAGUGAAGAUGGCAUCAGUUGGUAUUUGUCAUUCAGAUCUUCACGCACAGAAUGGAAUGGCCAAAAAAAUUCCAUUUCCAACAAUUUUAGGACAUGAAGGUGCUGGAUUUAUAGAAAGUGUUGGAGAAGGUGUGGAACGUUUUAAGA
This is a non-coding RNA of Parasteatoda tepidariorum (common house spider), 1476 nucleotides long. The record is from RefSeq and is a predicted model, not a curated record. Lineage: Eukaryota; Metazoa; Arthropoda; Arachnida; Araneae; Theridiidae.